Molecule: long non-coding RNA, 2487 nt
Filed under: Cricetulus griseus (Chinese hamster)
Lineage: Eukaryota; Metazoa; Chordata; Mammalia; Rodentia; Cricetidae
Description: lncRNA (ENSCGRG00000024637.1)
Source: RNAcentral
AGAUACAGUCACUACACCAACCUGGAUCCCGAUGAAGUGUCUCACAAGCCUGCUCAUGGUAUUCUCAGACUCAGUCACACAGGAACUGCUUCUGAGGAGGUUUCCCUGAAGAUACAGUCAAAACAUCUUCCUGGUGAGUCUGACAGUGCUGUUAGUGAAUUUGCAUCCAAGUACUACAGCCAUGCUUCCUCUCUGCAUCCUGAGAAGCUGACAAUGGAGGAGACCACUUCCCUGAGCUUAUGGUAUUGUAAAGCCAACUGUUUACUCAUUUCAUUUAGAUUGUUGGUUACUCAUGUAAGUAAUGAGACUGAAAUUCACAUUUAGUUAUAUUCAGGAUUUUCUGAAUUAUUAGACCUACGUACAUUACUGGAUUACUGACUGCUUCAUUUGACAUCAGGUUAUGUCUUUUCACAAAAGUAAUAAAAAUGUUGUUUAUAUGAUCUGCACAUGUCCUACUUCCAUAUAUAAUAAUGUCAUACAUUCUAUAUGUUGGAAAGUUUUAUUUUAAUUAUUAACUCAUUUAUCACAAAGAUUAUAGUAUGUUUUUUAUAACCUCAGAAGAGACAAACACCCAUACUAUCACCCUCAUUACUGAGGGAAAUGGCAUACAAGGGACAGUAGCAAGAUUCAAGGGACACAUAUAACACACAAACCUACCCUACUGCGAUAUCCAGGGUAUGCAGGACACAGUGAUAACCUCCCCAUUAGAUGACAGGUAGAUCUCAUUGACAAGCAUGAAUUUUAUGAACUUCUACAACCAUGAUGAGACCCACCCAGAUGACCCAUUUACAAAGAGUUUUCAGAUACCAAAUUUUCAGGUAUGUGCCUUUAUAGCCAUCCUAUUUGAGAAUAAGAUAUGAGCAGAGUCUCCAGUUUUAAUCAGUAUGGUGUGAGGCUGUGACAUUCACUAAUAGGGUUUAUCAGGAAACACUAAAUAGCAUUCCUGUUUCCAAGCCCAUGAGUUGAGUUCCUAGAGAUCUGGUCAAGAUUGCAAAGUUUAUGCAUAUAAGGACAGCUCAUGUUACUUUGUGAGAGCAUAUUAGGUGAGCUGUAUAGAAACCAAUCCUGAGAUUAUUCAAAAAGGUGGAACAAGGCAGCAUUAGUUACGAUCUUUAAGUUUUAGGAAAUAAACAAGGAUAACAUUGUGUGUUGGGAAACAAUACAUGCAUGGAGUCAUUGCUGGAAAGGGCUUCAUAUUCUCAGCAACACUCCAUUUGAAAAUCUGAUUGUCCUUUCCCCCACAGAUAUGAACUACAAAUAAAGUCCUGGAUAGGAGUUGAUCUUUGUGGUCCAAGAUGUAAUAAUGCUGGGAUUCAUCUGGUUUAAACAAUGUUAAUUUUUUUUGUAAAUCUCAUUGUAAAAUCUUUCUAAAAUAUUUACAUAUGUGAGAGUAAUUUUAAUGCAGUCCCAUAUAUAAUGGACACAAUUCCCUAGCUAGACAUCUUAUGUCACAAAGUAAUACCCCAGUGGUAUAAGUGUGUUGUAUAUUGGGCAGCCAUUAGGUCUAAAAUUUUUGGCUUAUACUUAUUUAUCAUUAUGGAAUAAUACAAUUAUAUAUUUAUCUUUUGAUUGCUCAUUCUAUUAAUCAAUUCUCUUAUAUUUGUGUUUGGGAUGAUGUCUUGAUAUUUAAUAACUCAUCAAAGGCCUUGUCAGAGAAGAAUUCUCUUUCUCAUUCUCAACAUUCAUUAGUUUCCUGUAGCAACUGAAGAUUUUGAGAUAUCUGACAUCCACACUGGCAUGAAAACAUGUGCUGUCAUUUUGUUAACGUUCUUUAGGUAUCUGUAUUGUUGAGAUUUUUAUGGAUGCAUCAUUCACAUUAUAAAUAGAAGCUACUUUUUUGUAGCACUCAAAUCUACAUUAUUGACCAGAAAUACCAUGAGACAUUCAUAUGUGUCUUGGAGCUAUAAUGAGUCUAAGUCCUGUUAAGGGCUAAGAUUUGCAAAAUGAUGGCAACUAAGGAAGAUGACACAUACAUCAAGUUUACUUACAACUUUUGUAGCAGUAUAAUUAUUUGCAUUUUGGCCUCAGAAAAUGAAUGAGAAAGGGUACUACUUGUGUUUUGAGAUGUCCUGCUAUUCAACUAUAUUUUCAUGAAUGAAAAAUAUAUUGGAAAAUUAUUUUCCAUUAAACUUUAAUUUGACUUUAAACUAUUUUACAUCUCUAGCUUUAAAUUGAACAUUAACACCAUAUACAGAAGUAUAUAUAAUGGGAGUUAUGAAUUAGAUUUCUCCUCCAAGCUUGUUCAAGCGAAUUACAUUUGUAUGUAUCUGGGUUACAAAUGUAGUUCUAAGCACAUUAAAUAAUUUCAUCAUUUAUAUGUUGACUGACCAUUUCUUGUUACCUUUUAGAAAAUGUUUCAGCAAAUUAGUAAUUCAAAUAAAAUUUGGAUUUACUAAUUCAUUCUUGCUACAUUACUUCAGCCUCAAAAAUUAUAGCAUUUGAUUGAAGCUUUUUUUGUAAUAAAAUAAGCUUUAAAUGAUAAAUAGA